Leptonychotes weddellii (Weddell seal) is the source of this 325-nucleotide non-coding RNA. NCBI's taxonomy places the organism in Eukaryota, Metazoa, Chordata, Mammalia, Carnivora, Phocidae. The record is from RefSeq and is a predicted model, not a curated record.
UGACAAAUGGAGGUGUCUCCUCGGGGAGGGAAGCUUCCUUGAACAUUGCCUUGUUUCCUGUUUUUGCAGUUAUAUUUGCUAAGAGUGUCUGACGCGUAUCAUUUAAUGGGGGCCUCGUCUGCAAACUUUUUUCCCUAGGCAAGCCAGGACUACUACUGACUACUUUCUACGGAGAUGUGGGCUGUGAUAAGUGGUGUCCAAUGCUGGUUGAAGAUAAGAGGCUACAAUUCUGUGGAAAGGAUUCAGAGAAACACGAAUGCCCUCCUUCCUUCCUGCGACCCUGACUUCUUGGACCAGAGAAGCUGACCCAAGAGCCCUUCUCCCA